Molecule: ribosomal RNA, 732 nt
Filed under: Pseudomonas aeruginosa
Lineage: Bacteria; Pseudomonadati; Pseudomonadota; Gammaproteobacteria; Pseudomonadales; Pseudomonadaceae
Description: bacterial SSU rRNA
Rfam family: Bacterial small subunit ribosomal RNA
Source: RNAcentral
AGUUACGUAGCGGAUGAAGGGAGCUUGCUCCUGGAUUCAGCGGCGGACGGGUGAGUAAUGCCUAGGAAUCUGCCUGGUAGUGGGGGAUAACGUCCGGAAACGGGCGCUAAUACCGCAUACGUCCUGAGGGAGAAAGUGGGGGAUCUUCGGACCUCACGCUAUCAGAUGAGCCUAGGUCGGAUUAGCUAGUUGGUGGGGUAAAGGCCUACCAAGGCGACGAUCCGUAACUGGUCUGAGAGGAUGAUCAGUCACACUGGAACUGAGACACGGUCCAGACUCCUACGGGAGGCAGCAGUGGGGAAUAUUGGACAAUGGGCGAAAGCCUGAUCCAGCCAUGCCGCGUGUGUGAAGAAGGUCUUCGGAUUGUAAAGCACUUUAAGUUGGGAGGAAGGGCAGUAAGUUAAUACCUUGCUGUUUUGACGUUACCAACAGAAUAAGCACCGGCUAACUUCGUGCCAGCAGCCGCGGUAAUACGAAGGGUGCAAGCGUUAAUCGGAAUUACUGGGCGUAAAGCGCGCGUAGGUGGUUCAGCAAGUUGGAUGUGAAAUCCCCGGGCUCAACCUGGGAACUGCAUCCAAAACUACUGAGCUAGAGUACGGUAGAGGGUGGUGGAAUUUCCUGUGUAGCGGUGAAAUGCGUAGAUAUAGGAAGGAACACCAGUGGCGAAGGCGACCACCUGGACUGAUACUGACACUGAGGUGCGAAAGCGUGGGGAGCAAACAGGAUUAGAUA